GACGAACGCUGGCGGCGUGCCUAAUACAUGCAAGUAGAACGCUGAAGAGAGGAGCUUGCUCUUCUUGGAAGAGUUGCGAACGGGUGAGUAACGCGUAGGUAACCUGCCUUGUAGCGGGGGAUAACUAUUGGAAACGAUAGCUAAUACCGCAUAACAAUGGGUGACCCAUGUCAUUCAUUUGAAAGGGGCAACUGCUCCACUACAAGAUGGACCUGCGUUGUAUUAGCUAGUAGGUGAGGUAACGGCUCACCUAGGCGACGAUACAUAGCCGACCUGAGAGGGUGAUCGGCCACACUGGGACUGAGACACGGCCCAGACUCCUACGGGAGGCAGCAGUAGGGAAUCUUCGGCAAUGGGGGCAACCCUGACCGAGCAACGCCGCGUGAGUGAAGAAGGUUUUCGGAUCGUAAAGCUCUGUUGUAAGUCAAGAACGAGUGUGAGAGUGGAAAGUUCACACUAUGACGGUAGCUUACCAGAAAGGGACGGCUAACUACGUGCCAGCAGCCGCGGUAAUACGUAGGUCCCGAGCGUUGUCCGGAUUUAUUGGGCGUAAAGCGAGCGCAGGCGGUUUGAUAAGUCUGAAGUUAAAGGCUGUGGCUCAACCAUAGUUUGCUUUGGAAACUGUCAAACUUGAGUGCAGAAGGGGAGAGUGGAAUUCCAUGUGUAGCGGUGAAAUGCGUAGAUAUAUGGAGGAACACCGGUGGCGAAAGCGGCUCUCUGGUCUGUAACUGACGCUGAGGAGCGAAAGCUAGGGGAGCAAACAGG
RNAcentral lists this ribosomal RNA (765 nucleotides) under uncultured Streptococcus sp. Its description in RNAcentral is "bacterial SSU rRNA". It matches the Rfam family "Bacterial small subunit ribosomal RNA", at positions 28 to 776 of the family's 1533-position model. The record is from RNAcentral. Lineage: Bacteria; Bacillati; Bacillota; Bacilli; Lactobacillales; Streptococcaceae.